UGGGGAAUUUUGGACAAUGGGCGCAAGCCUGAUCCAGCAAUGCCGCGUGCAGGAUGAAGGCCUUCGGGUUGUAAACUGCUUUUGUACGGAGCGAAAAGGUCUGCCCUAAUACGGUGGGCUCAUGACGGUACCGUAAGAAUAAGCACCGGCUAACUACGUGCCAGCAGCCGCGGUAAUACGUAGGGUGCGAGCGUUAAUCGGAAUUACUGGGCGUAAAGCGUGCGCAGGCGGUUAUAUAAGACAGAUGUGAAAUCCCCGGGCUCAACCUGGGACCUGCAUUUGUGACUGUAUAGCUAGAGUACGGUAGAAGGGGAUGGAAUUCCACGUGUAGCAGUGAAAUGCGUAGAUAUGCGGAGGAACACCGAUGGCGAAGGCAAUCCCCUGGACCUGUACUGACGCUCAUGCACGAAAGCGUGGGGAGCAAACA
RNAcentral lists this ribosomal RNA (427 nucleotides) under uncultured bacterium. Its description in RNAcentral is "bacterial SSU rRNA". It matches the Rfam family "Bacterial small subunit ribosomal RNA", at positions 355 to 774 of the family's 1533-position model. The record is from RNAcentral.